GACGAACGCUGGCGGCGUGCUUAACACAUGCAAGUCGAACGGAAAGGCCCUGCUUUUGUGGGGUGCUCGAGUGGCGAACGGGUGAGUAACACGUGAGUAACCUGCCCUUGACUUUGGGAUAACUUCAGGAAACUGGGGCUAAUACCGGAUAGGAGCUCCUGCUGCAUGGUGGGGGUUGGAAAGUUUCGGCGGUUGGGGAUGGACUCGCGGCUUAUCAGCUUGUUGGUGGGGUAGUGGCUUACCAAGGCUUUGACGGGUAGCCGGCCUGAGAGGGUGACCGGCCACAUUGGGACUGAGAUACGGCCCAGACUCCUACGGGAGGAAGCAGUGGGGAAUAUUGCACAAGGGGCGGAAGCCUGAUGCAGCAACGCCGCGUGCGGGAUGACGGCCUUCGGGUUGUAAACCGCUUUCGCCUGUGACGAAGCGUGAGUGACGGUAAUGGGUAAAGAAGCACCGGCUAACUACGUG
Molecule: ribosomal RNA, 468 nt
Filed under: uncultured bacterium
Lineage: Bacteria
Description: partial 16S ribosomal RNA
Rfam family: Bacterial small subunit ribosomal RNA
Source: RNAcentral